RNAcentral lists this ribosomal RNA (1372 nucleotides) under uncultured bacterium. RNAcentral describes it as "bacterial SSU rRNA". It matches the Rfam family "Bacterial small subunit ribosomal RNA", at positions 28 to 1381 of the family's 1533-position model. The record is from RNAcentral.
GAUGAACGCUGGCGGCGUGCCUAAUACAUGCAAGUCGAGCGAACAGAUAAGGAGCUUGCUCCUUUGACGUUAGCGGCGGACGGGUGAGUAACACGUGGGUAACCUACCUAUAAGACUGGGAUAACUUCGGGAAACCGGAGCUAAUACCGGAUAAUAUUUCGAACCGCAUGGUUCGAUAGUGAAAGAUGGUUUUGCUAUCACUUAUAGAUGGACCCGCGCCGUAUUAGCUAGUUGGUAAGGUAACGGCUUACCAAGGCGACGAUACGUAGCCGACCUGAGAGGGUGAUCGGCCACACUGGAACUGAGACACGGUCCAGACUCCUACGGGAGGCAGCAGUAGGGAAUCUUCCGCAAUGGGCGAAAGCCUGACGGAGCAACGCCGCGUGAGUGAUGAAGGUCUUCGGAUCGUAAAACUCUGUUAUUAGGGAAGAACAUACGUGUAAGUAACUGUGCACGUCUUGACGGUACCUAAUCAGAAAGCCACGGCUAACUACGUGCCAGCAGCCGCGGUAAUACGUAGGUGGCAAGCGUUAUCCGGAAUUAUUGGGCGUAAAGCGCGCGUAGGCGGUUUUUUAAGUCUGAUGUGAAAGCCCACGGCACAACCGUGGAGGGUCAUUGGAAACUGGAAAACUUGAGUGCAGAAGAGGAAAGUGGAAUUCCAUGUGUAGCGGUGAAAUGCGCAGAGAUAUGGAGGAACACCAGUGGCGAAGGCGACUUUCUGGUCUGUAACUGACGCUGAUGUGCGAAAGCGUGGGGAUCAAACAGGAUUAGAUACCCUGGUAGUCCACGCCGUAAACGAUGAGUGCUAAGUGUUAGGGGGUUUCCGCCCCUUAGUGCUGCAGCUAACGCAUUAAGCACUCCGCCUGGGGAGUACGACCGCAAGGUUGAAACUCAAAGGAAUUGACGGGGACCCGCACAAGCGGUGGAGCAUGUGGUUUAAUUCGAAGCAACGCGAAGAACCUUACCAAAUCUUGACAUCCUUUGACAACUCUAGAGAUAGAGUUUUCCCCUUCGGGGGACAAAGUGACAGGUGGUGCAUGGUUGUCGUCAGCUCGUGUCGUGAGAUGUUGGGUUAAGUCCCGCAACGAGCGCAACCCUUAAGCUUAGUUGCCAUCAUUAAGUUGGGCACUCUAAGUUGACUGCCGGUGACAAACCGGAGGAAGGUGGGGAUGACGUCAAAUCAUCAUGCCCCUUAUGAUUUGGGCUACACACGUGCUACAAUGGACAAUACAAAGGGCAGCGAAACCGCGAGGUCAAGCAAAUCCCAUAAAGUUGUUCUCAGUUCGGAUUGUAGUCUGCAACUCGACUACAUGAAGCUGGAAUCGCUAGUAAUCGUAGAUCAGCAUGCUACGGUGAAUACGUUCCCGGGUCU